UAUUGGUUGUGAAAGGGGGUAUCCACUGUCUCCACUGAAUCUCUUCUUCCACAGUUAUUUUCUGGGACACUGCACUAUACAACUUUAUUUGAUGGCAGAACAUUCAGAGGCUGUAAGCUUGACACAUGGCAAAAUGCUUCUGCUGUUUCUGAGUCUCGGUUUGGUCACUUCUAACGUCCAGUCAGGAAGACAAGGGGUUAACGUAACGUGUGAAAAUCAAUCGGUUGUAGCAGGACAGAACCACAACCUGACAUGUAGAGUGGAUUACCAUGAUGCAGAUCAGAAUAACACGGGAUGUAAAACUCAACAGUAUUUCUGGAAGCAUAAAUCAAAAACUCCAAUACAAAAUUGUGAUUGUACAAAAGAUUGUAACAUUACGAUAACCAAAAGCUACUUUUGUGAGAUGAAAAAUGUUACCAAAGCUGAUGAGGGAAACUACACUUUUACCAUUAACACAGACUGUGGAAACGGAAAAGACACAUUUAAUGUUUCAUUGAGAAAUGAAAAACAAGGUUUUCUGGGAUGGUCAGGUCACCUAUCGUCAGUAUCAUCACUGUUCUGGGUGUUCUACUGUUUCUCAUCUUAAGACUUAAUAGUUCCUUGAGAAACAAUGGCAACACUGACAGUAUUCCUGAAGCUACCAGAGAGGCCCUCAACCAGAAGCCUGCAUAACUCUCAGUCUGGAGGAGCUGUGUGUGUGGCGUGUGUGUGUGGGUGGGUGUGUGUGUUGGUUCUAUUAUCCUUGUGGUGACAGAAAAAUCUCAUUUACAUAAGUAAUCAAAAUCCUAAACCAAUAAAUACUUUGUGGAAGCACCUUUGGCAGUGAUUACAGCUGUGAGUCUGUCUGGGUAAGUCUCAAAGAGAUUUCCACACAUGGAUUGUUCAACAUUUUCCCAUUAUUCUUUUCAAAAUUCUUCAAGCUCUGCCUAAUUGGUCAUUGCUAGAGAACCAUUUUCAGGUCUUGCCAUAGAUUCACUGUCUUCUUGGUAAGCAACUCCAGUGAAGAUUUUGGCCAUGGGUUAUUGUCCAGCUGAAUGGUGAAUUCAUCUCCCAGUGUCUGGUGUAUUGGAUUUGCCUAAAAAAUAACACUUUGUAUUCAGAACAAAAACUGAAUUGCUUUGCCAUGUUUUUUGCAAUACUACUAUAGUUCCUUGUUUCAAACAUGAUGCAUGUUUUGGAAUAUUUUUAUUCUGUACAGGCUUCCUUCUAUUCACUCUGUCAAUUAUUAUUUAUUUACCUUUAUAUAACUAGACAGGUCA
This is a long non-coding RNA of Salvelinus namaycush (lake trout), 1259 nucleotides long. RefSeq lists it as uncharacterized. NCBI's taxonomy places the organism in Eukaryota, Metazoa, Chordata, Actinopteri, Salmoniformes, Salmonidae. The transcript is spliced from 4 exons. The record is from RefSeq and is a predicted model, not a curated record.